This 423-nucleotide ribosomal RNA is filed under the name uncultured bacterium. RNAcentral describes it as "bacterial SSU rRNA". It matches the Rfam family "Bacterial small subunit ribosomal RNA", at positions 30 to 452 of the family's 1533-position model. The record is from RNAcentral.
AUUGAACGCUGGCGGCAUGCCUUACACAUGCAAGUCGAACGGCAGCGGACCUUCGGGUGCCGGCGAGUGGCGAACGGGUGAGUAAUAUAUCGGAACGUACCUUUCAGUGGGGGAUAACGUAGCGAAAGUUACGCUAAUACCGCAUAUUCUGUGAGCAGGAAAGCAGGGGAUCGCAAGACCUUGCGCUGAUUGAGCGGCCGAUAUCAGAUUAGCUAGUUGGUGAGGUAAAGGCUCACCAAGGCGACGAUCUGUAGCGGGUCUGAGAGGAUGAUCCGCCACACUGGAACUGAGACACGGUCCAGACUCCUACGGGAGGCAGCAGUGGGGAAUUUUGGACAAUGGGCGCAAGCCUGAUCCAGCCAUGCCGCGUGAGUGAAGAAGGCCUUCGGGUUGUAAGGUACUCUUUCGGUCCGGGAACGGAAA